GAUGUGAUCCUAAAAUUCUAUCCCUUAACAAGAAGAAUUAUUUCGGUCAUGGAAUAAAAAGAACCAAAGUUGAAGAUUAUUAUCCAAGCAUGUGAUAGUGGAAAAUAAAGAGCUCAUCCACUAAGCAUAUGAAAAUGAAGAGCUCAUCCACUAAGCAUAUGAAAAGAGCACCACUAUCUCUUCUUUUAUUUUGCAUUUUUCUUGUAAUAAUUCAGCUCCACUAUCAUGAUAGCUAGUGGCUGAAAUCCUUUUGUUUUCUUAGGAGUUACUUUUGCUUAUCAGCCUUUCCUAUAUAAAGGAGGCAUGUAACUCUUGCCAAAUAAAUGAAUUUUGUUAAGUUUUACACAUUGUGUAAUUGAGAGCAUUUGCUCUUAGGUUCUGGAUUGGACCAAAAUUGAUCUUAUCAAGGAAUCC
This 414-nucleotide long non-coding RNA is filed under the name Trifolium pratense (red clover). RNAcentral's name for it is "long non-coding RNA (TPRA_LNC011304)". Lineage: Eukaryota; Viridiplantae; Streptophyta; Magnoliopsida; Fabales; Fabaceae. The record is from RNAcentral.